This 429-nucleotide ribosomal RNA is filed under the name Chloroflexota bacterium. RNAcentral's name for it is "Chloroflexi bacterium partial 16S ribosomal RNA". It matches the Rfam family "Bacterial small subunit ribosomal RNA", at positions 355 to 776 of the family's 1533-position model. The record is from RNAcentral. Lineage: Bacteria; Bacillati; Chloroflexota.
UGGGGAAUAUUGCACAAUGGGCGCAAGCCUGAUGCAGCCAUGCCGCGUGUGUGAAGAAGGCCUUCGGGUUGUAAAGCACUUUCAGCGGGGAGGAAGGCGAUAAGGUUAAUAACCUUGUCGAUUGACGUUACCCGCAGAAGAAGCACCGGCUAACUCCGUGCCAGCAGCCGCGGUAAUACGGAGGGUGCAAGCGUUAAUCGGAAUUACUGGGCGUAAAGCGCACGCAGGCGGUCUGUCAAGUCGGAUGUGAAAUCCCCGGGCUUAACCUGGGAACUGCAUUCGAAACUGGCAGGCUAGAGUCUUGUAGAGGGGGGUAGAAUUCCAGGUGUAGCGGUGAAAUGCGUAGAGAUCUGGAGGAAGACCGGUGGCGAAGGCGGCCCCCUGGACAAAGACUGACGCUCAGGUGCGAAAGCGUGGGGAGCAAACAGG